Molecule: ribosomal RNA, 478 nt
Filed under: uncultured bacterium
Lineage: Bacteria
Description: partial 16S ribosomal RNA
Rfam family: Bacterial small subunit ribosomal RNA
Source: RNAcentral
GACGAACGCUGGCGGCGUGCUUAACACAUGCAAGUCGAACGGUAAGGCCCUUCGGGGUACACGAGUGGCGAACGGGUGAGUAACACGUGGGUGAUCUACCCUGCACUUCGGGAUAAGCCUGGGAAACUGGGUCUAAUACCGGAUAGGACCACUGCCUGCAUGGGUGGUGGUGGAAAGCUUUUGCGGUGUGGGAUGGGCCCGCGGCCUAUCAGCUUGUUGGUGGGGUGAUGGCCUACCAAGGCGACGACGGGUAGCCGGCCUGAGAGGGUGACCGGCCACACUGGGACUGAGAUACGGCCCAGACUCCUACGGGGGGCAGCAGUGGGGAAUAUUGCACAAUGGGCGCAAGCCUGAUGCAGCGACGCCGCGUGAGGGAUGACGGCCUUCGGGUUGUAAACCUCUUUCAGCACCGACGAAGCGCAAGUGACGGUAGGUGCAGAAGAAGGACCGGCCAACUACGUGCCAGCCGCCGCUGUAA